AAAAUUCACGAAGUAGUUUGGACCAAAGAUGAAAGCAGUUUUCUUCAAGCUAGGGCAUUAAGCUGCUUAAAAUGUGAAGCUGGAACUACUUGCAAGCACUAUAAUAUUGGCAACAUACAUCUCAGUGGCACAACGAGUUCAUUGUCCAAGAAACCAAGGCUAAGGUAUGAGGAGGUAUUCACCGAUUCUGAUGAUGACACCAGCUUCAAUUGAGAAGACAUCACAAGAAAAUAACAAUUUGUCCAAGGAAUCAUUUGCAGAUUUGAAAGCUAGAGAUUGGUGUAUGUUGGAAUAUGGCAAUGAAUUGUUCCCGGGGGAAAUUUCAAGAAAGAUUACAUCAAAUCAGUUCGAAGUAUCAUGUAUGGUCAAAGCU
Long non-coding RNA from Nilaparvata lugens (brown planthopper), 373 nucleotides. RefSeq lists it as uncharacterized. NCBI's taxonomy places the organism in Eukaryota, Metazoa, Arthropoda, Insecta, Hemiptera, Delphacidae. The transcript has 3 exons. The record is from RefSeq and is a predicted model, not a curated record.